AGGCCAUGGAGAACAUAAACCGUC
RNAcentral lists this non-coding RNA (24 nucleotides) under Arabidopsis thaliana (thale cress). Lineage: Eukaryota; Viridiplantae; Streptophyta; Magnoliopsida; Brassicales; Brassicaceae. The record is from RNAcentral.